AUCCAGAGUACCACCGGACACGAGGAACCCGGUGGGAAGCCGGGGGGACCACCCCCCAAGCCUAAAUACUACCUGAUGACCGAUAGUGAAAAGUACAGUGAUGGAAAGUUGAAAAGAACCCCGGAAGGGGAGUGAAAAAGAAUCUGAAACCCUAUGUUUACAAGCUGCUAAAGCACCAUAUGAGUGCGAUAGCGUACUUUUUGUAGAACGGUCCGGCGAGUGUAUGUUGCAAGCGAGGUUAAGGUGUUAAGCACUGAAGCCGAAGGGAGACCGAGUGUGAAUAGCGCGUACAGUUUGCAGUAUACGACCCGAAACCGGGUGACCUAACCAUGGACAGGUUGAAGUGGAAGUAAAAUUCCAUGGAGGACCGAACCCACGUCUGUUGAAAAAGGCGGGGAUGAGCUGUGGUUAGCGGUGAAAUUCCAAUCGAACUCGGAUAUAGCUGGUUCUCAUCGAAAUAGCUUUAGGGCUAGCCUCAGGAUAGUUUAGCGGAGGUAAAGCACUGAAUGGGCUAGGGGGCUUCACGGCUUACCGAACCCUAUCAAACUCUGAAUGCCGCAUAAAUGUUUCCUGGGAGUCAGACUGCGUGAGAUAAGUUUCGUAGUCAAAAGGGAAAGAGCCCAGACCUACAGCUAAGGUCCCUAAAUGAAUUUAAGUGGAAAAGGAUGUGCAGUUGCGUAGACAACUAGGACGUUGGCUUAGAAGCAGCCACUCAUUUAAAGAGUGCGUAAUAGCUCACUAGUCGAGUGAUUGUGCGCCGAAAAUGUAACGGGGCUAAAAUUCAUACCGAAGCUUAGGCUUUGCACACUUUGUGUGCGAGGGGUAGAUGAGCGUUGUGUAAGUCUGCGAAGCUACACCGAAAGGAGUAGUGGAGAUAUCACAAGUGAGAAUGCCGGAAUGAGUAGCGAGAAUUAUGUGAGAAUCAUAAUGGUCGAAAAUCUAAGGUUUCUUGAGGAAGGUUCGUCCGCUCAAGGUAAGCCGGGAGCUAAGGCGAGGCCGAGAGGCGUAGUCGAUGCACAUACGGUAAAGAUUCCGUAGCCACCGAAGUCGUUAAAUACAGGGACACAGGAACAUAGCCUAACCCCACCGUUGGUUGAGUGGGGCGUAAGGGAGCGAAAAUUAGUAGCGAAGUAGGUGAUUGUACACUGGCGAGAAAAGCUGUAUGAAUUGACAAGGUGCCCGUACCGCAAACCGACACAGGUAGAUGAGGAGA
This 1213-nucleotide non-coding RNA is filed under the name Firmicutes bacterium CAG:41. Its description in RNAcentral is "Bacterial large subunit ribosomal RNA". It matches the Rfam family "Bacterial large subunit ribosomal RNA", at positions 405 to 1675 of the family's 2925-position model. The record is from Rfam by way of RNAcentral. Lineage: Bacteria; Bacillati; Bacillota.